RNAcentral lists this ribosomal RNA (252 nucleotides) under uncultured bacterium. RNAcentral describes it as "partial 16S ribosomal RNA". It matches the Rfam family "Bacterial small subunit ribosomal RNA", at positions 524 to 777 of the family's 1533-position model. The record is from RNAcentral.
UACGAAGGGGCUAGCGUUGCUCGGAAUUACUGGGCGUAAAGGGCGCGUAGGCGGAUACUUAAGUCGGGGGUGAAAGCCCAGGGCUCAACCCUGGAAUAGCCUUCGAUACUGGGUAUCUUGAGUUCGGGAGAGGUGAGUGGAACUCCGAGUGUAGAGGUGAAAUUCGUAGAUAUUCGGAAGAACACCAGUGGCGAAGGCGACUCACUGGCCCGAUACUGACGCUGAGGCGCGAAAGCGUGGGAGCAAACAGGG